AUUGAACGCUGGCGGCAUGCCUUACACAUGCAAGUCGAACGGUAACAGGUCUUCGGAUGCUGACGAGUGGCGAACGGGUGAGUAAUACAUCGGAACGUGCCUAGUAGUGGGGGAUAACUACUCGAAAGAGUGGCUAAUACCGCAUGAGAUCUACGGAUGAGAGCAGGGGAUCGCAAGACCUUGUGCUACUAGAGCGGCCGAUGGCAGGUUAGGUAGUUGGUGGGAUAAAAGCUUACCAAGCCGACGAUCUGUAGCUGGUCUGAGAGGACGAUCAGCCACACUGGGACUGAGACACGGCCCAGGCUACUACGGGAGGCAGCAGUUGGGAAUUUUGGACAAUGGGCGAAAGCCUGAUCCAGCAAUGCCGCGUGCAGGAUGAAGGCCUUCGGGUUGUAAACUGCUUUUGUACGGAACGAAAAGCCCUGGGUUAAUACCCUGGGGUCAUGACGGUACCGUAAGAAUAAGCACCGGCUAACUACGUGCCAGCCGCCGCAGUAA
Molecule: ribosomal RNA, 498 nt
Filed under: uncultured bacterium
Lineage: Bacteria
Description: partial 16S ribosomal RNA
Rfam family: Bacterial small subunit ribosomal RNA
Source: RNAcentral